AUUUACUACAAAAAAAAAUUCUUCUAUAAAAAUUAAUAUUUAUUUAUUUAAAAACUGAAAAGGAACAAGUUAUUUUUUAAAAGAAAAAUCAUGUUCCUUUAGUAUCAGGAUUUAUCUAAUUCUUAGAAAAAUCUUCUACUCCCGAAAUCAUAUGACCUAUUAAUUUUAUUAAUUUUUAUUACAAAAAAUUAAUAAAACUAUUAAUAGAAAUUAAACAUUUAUCGUAUAUACUAUAUCUGGUUUAAAAAAAAGAAAACAAUUUCAAACAAAAUUCUGUAAAAUAAAUUACAAAAUUAAUUUAUCAUAUUAUUUUCUAAAAACAAAACUUAUAGUGUUUAAAAAGUUUAAUAACUAAACAUUUAUAAAAUCAAAAACUAUAUUAUUUUUAAAAACUCCACAAUAAACUAUAAUGAUAAAAUAAGUAAACUAUCAAUUUUUUUUUUUUGAACUCAUCUAAAAUUGAGUGACUGUUUAACAAAAACAUUUUUAUUAGAAAAAUUAAUAAUAAAGUCUGCUCAAUGAUAAUUAAAUAGCCGCUUUUGUGCUAAGGUAGCAUAAUAAUUUGUCUUUUAAUUAAAGACUAGAACAAAAGACUUAACAUCUCAAUUAAUUUAAUAAAAAAAAAUAUUUAAAUUAUCCUAAUUGUAAAAAGACAAUUUUUAAAAAGAAAGACGAUAAGACCCUAUCGAACUUUACUUCAGUUAAACUGGGGAAGUUAAUUAAUUAUUACUUUAAUAAAAUUAAAUAUUCAACUUGACCUAAUAUAAUUAACAAAAUAAUCAAGUUACCGUAGGGAUAACAGCGUAAUAAAAUUUUUAAGAUCUUAUUUAAAAUAAAGAUUGCGACCUCGAUGUUGAUUUAAUUUCCUAAUUUAAUUUAACGCAGUAGUUAAUAAAGGAAGUCUGUUCGACUUUUAAAAAAUUACAUGAUUUGAGUUCAGACCGGUGUAAACCAGGUCGGUUUCUAUCUUCUUUUAAAUUUCUUCUAGUACGAAAGGACCUAAGAAAAUAAUAAUAUU
This 1018-nucleotide ribosomal RNA is filed under the name Lycosa singoriensis. RNAcentral's name for it is "16S ribosomal RNA". The stretch from base 666 to 972 matches the Rfam family "Archaeal large subunit ribosomal RNA", at positions 2151 to 2715 of the family's 2987-position model. Lineage: Eukaryota; Metazoa; Arthropoda; Arachnida; Araneae; Lycosidae. The record is from RNAcentral.